This is a long non-coding RNA of Hippocampus comes (tiger tail seahorse), 448 nucleotides long. RefSeq lists it as uncharacterized. The transcript has 4 exons. The record is from RefSeq and is a predicted model, not a curated record. NCBI's taxonomy places the organism in Eukaryota, Metazoa, Chordata, Actinopteri, Syngnathiformes, Syngnathidae.
GGCUGGGAUGAUUUUUAGCUGAUUCUUGCCGUUGCUUGGCCGUCGCUUGCAUCACCACGUGUUGGCUGGCUGGCUGGUGGGCCGGCAGAGUCGAAACAAGGAAUACCGGAACAGAAGAAAAAGAGGGGGAGGGCAACCUAAAAGUUGCCCUUGAGCGUCCACACGGCUAACACGUUUUAGCUACUUCGGCACCGGGAAGUUCAAAGGUCAGGAACCCAACCUGAGAGGAAGCAAGCAAGACAGAAACACAGACAGAAGAACAGAGGGCAUAGAAAGUUUCUCUGCCCAUGAUUUCCAUCCUCGGCUGGGGGAGGAUCCAAAGUUUUUCAAGCCACGUCCUGACUACGCCAUGUUAAACACUAUCACGUCAAAGCUAAAAAGGGACCAGCAGAUGUGUUUUUCUGAAUGUCCAAGAAGAACCAGAAGCAGCAAUAAAGGUAUGUGAAUG